This is a long non-coding RNA of Ostrea edulis (European flat oyster), 1509 nucleotides long. RefSeq lists it as uncharacterized. NCBI's taxonomy places the organism in Eukaryota, Metazoa, Mollusca, Bivalvia, Ostreida, Ostreidae. The transcript has 3 exons. The record is from RefSeq and is a predicted model, not a curated record.
AAUAGUAAAAUUUAGCAGUAAGUUAAAGAUAAAAAGAUGUGCCCUUAAACAAUUAAUUUCUCUAAAGGUUAAGGCGACAUCUAGUUUCGUCAGAAUGACAGGUUUUCCAGUGCAGAAAUCACUGCGAGGUUAGCACAUAAUUGUGAAAUUGCACUGCGAGGUUAGCACAUAAUUGUGAAAUCACUGCGAGGUUAGCACAUAAUUGUGAAAUUGCACUGCGAGGUUAGCACAUAAUUGUGAAAUCACUGCGAGGUUAGCACAUAAUUGUGAAAUUGAUUGGGAUGAUCAACAAAAUGACGGAUAAUUUAUCCACUGAAAAUUGUCAAUAAAUGGGGGGACAAUUGGAAUAUUAUAUACAGCCAUACCGGGAAGAGUGGAUUUCCUGUACGCGAACACAAGGAGAAGACAUUUACUAGUAUGUCGUGUGAUGUGCAUUGUUAAGUCCACUUCAUACAAAUUCAGUGAGACGGGAUUCAUAUUUAUGAAAAAGACGAGAAAAUCCAACAGCAUAGAAUAUCCAUUUGUGUACAUAAACGAAAAUUGGAUUAUGAAUAAGCUAUUCUUUCGUAUUUUAGAAGUGACUUGUCUUUGACUGAAAUAUGAUUAUGUCGGCUGGAAUUAUUGCGGGUAUAGUGAUUGGUGCUGUCCUUGGAACUCUAUUGCUGGGAUGUUGCUUUGCCAUGAUUUGCCGCCAUUGUCGUCAUCAUCACUCGGGACAUUUUGGGACUUAUCCACCAAUUAUUGGAGAACACCAUGGCGGGCAUCAUUACGGGGGUCAUCAUGGAGGUCAUCACGGAGAUCACCACGGUGGUCAUCAUUAAUCUGUGUCACACAAAACACAUGGGUCGCAUUAAACAGAUGUCCUCUGAAAUGCGAUGGCAAUUAAAUAUUUAAAACUCCAAAUUUGACCUAUAUUCAGCAAUUUGAAAGAUACAAAUGUAUCUAUUCAAUGCAUAUUUUAUUGUAAGAUAUAAAUGAACGGAUUGGCAUUGACAGUGGCAAUAAAGUUUGGAGAUACUGUAACUAUUUCAAUAUAAUUGUGAGAAAUGUUGGAUACAAUUUUACUGUUACAAUUGUACUAACGCUAGCCGAUAUGAAACAGGUCUGUAUUAUACGUUUUUAUCUUACACCCUUCUGUUGAAGGUGAAGAAAAAUUACAGCGUUUUAAAACAUACACAGCACACAAAUAAAUUACAGCAAUUAAUUGUAUUACACCAACUCCUACAUCUCAGGGCGGAUCCCGGAAUUUCAGUUUGGGGGCGCAACUUUAUGAACCAGGGGGUCUGGGGCCGCCUUGAGGCCCCCAGUGGGUCCAGGGCGAAGCCCUGAUGGGAGCCCAGUGGGCGAAGUUCCCGAAAGGUCUUGGAUUUUAAUAAUUUAGAGUUUGAAAUAUGUCUCCUAUGUAGUAAUUUUUUUACUAUUUUCUGUCAUUUUAAAUAAGGUGAAAUUAAUGAAAUGACGCAAAUUUUAUGAAUUUUUGGAGUUUCCCAAUAAAAGUAAUUCAAUAAA